AAGCUGGGGUCCCUAGGGUUUCUGGACCUCAGAUCACUGUGAGGCAGGAGGUCCUCCACCCUCCCUCCGGCAACUCUGAAGUAUGGGAAGUGGGCUGAUGCGCUGGAACGUCGAUGCAGCCAGUGAUGUGUUUGAUGAGAAUGUAUUGAGAGUAAAGCUGCCCAGAAUCCAAGUGUGUGUCAUCUGAACUCUUGAAUCAUGGAUGGAAGGUAUGUCCUCUGUUGAUGUCUCGCAGCCUGAGCUGACAAUCUGUAAGAAGGUUUUGUUAUCUUCAUGUUACAGAUGGUGAACCGAAACUUACAGAGCUCAAGUCACUUGACCAGGCUCCACCCCUACAAGAGGCAGCACGCAAACUAAAAACCAGGCGGCCUUUUCCAAAGCUUGUGCUCUGCUCCACUGCUGGAAGGAACCCUUCGGGGAAUUGAAGCAGCACUGAACAAAGGCCAUUUUUAAGAAGCGACACCAGAAACCUAAGGCGGGGUCCCCGGCUCAACAAGGAUCUCAUGUUUUGUGGGUCAGAGAUUCUUGUGUCGUGUCUGGGUGAGGUCAAAAACCAUGCAGAGACUUUCACUUCCUGUUCUGUGGCAGACAAGACAUCUGAAAAGCUCUCCUGCAGCAACACUUCUAGAUGCCAAGUAAAUCACAGCAAGUGCACUUUUAAAUGUGUUACUAAGAUCAUAAAAAUGAAGGAAAAUGCCCAAGCAUAUCCCCAACCCCUCACCCCACAACCACCACCACCACAAUAAACAAGUUGCUGACAGUGGAUUGGCAAGCGAGAGUGGAACCUUAGGCUGCGUUGGCAUCAAAUACUAAUAACCAAGCAAAAGGGAGCAAGACCAGGCCUGGGGGCUGUGCCAUUGAGAGGUGACCGCGUGCUGGCAGUCCUCACAGC
This 892-nucleotide long non-coding RNA is filed under the name Homo sapiens (human). RNAcentral's name for it is "HSALNT0331811". Lineage: Eukaryota; Metazoa; Chordata; Mammalia; Primates; Hominidae. The record is from RNAcentral.